UUUGAAGUUUUAUUACGUGGUACAUUCUGGAUACAGACACUUCUUUGACGUCCUGGACAGGUUUUUCUUCAAAAACUAAAAAGGCAGGAAGUUUUGAAUACAAAAGAAAUUCCUUAACAUCAUGUUCACAGCCCAGUCACCAGAGUAAAAUGUUGGAAGUGCACACUUCUGCAAACCACCUGUAUGUUACACUGGUACUUUUCAUAUAUACAACGUAGUUCAGAUAACGUGUAUUAGCUAAGUUUCUCUUUAGGAGGAGGAGGGGAUGGUGGAUGGCGUGACAUCUAGGCACUACGACUGUAAACCUGCAGAACCCUUUUCAACACCAACAAAAACAGGUAAUUUUAAUGACAAUUUAGGUAAUUUCCAGCUGUGUUUAUAGCAAGAAACACGGGUAUUUUUUAACAAAUGGUCAAGACAUUUCCAGCUGUUGCAGCAAUGAAUGCAGGUAUUUUUAAUUAGGAGUUUGGGACAUCUUCAGCCAUGUCUGUAGUGACAAAAGCAGGUGUUUUCAGCAACAGGUAGGGAAAGGUUUUAGCCAUGUUUGUAGUGACAAAAGCAGAUGUUUUUAGCAACAGGUAGGGAAAGGUUUUAGCCAUGUUUGUAGUGACAAAAGCAGAUGUUUUUAGCAACAGGUAGGGAAAGGUUUUAGUCAUGUUUGUAGCGACAAACCAGGUGUUUUCAGCAACAUGUAGGCAAAGUCUUUAGCCAUGUUUGAAGCGACAAAAUCAGGUGUUUUCAGCAACACGUAGGAAAAGGUUUUAGUCCUGUUUGAAGCGACAGAAACAGGUUUUCUCAGCAACAUGUAGGGAAAGUCUUUAGCCAUGUUUGUAGUGACAAAAGCAGGUGUUUUCAGCAACAGGUAGGGAAAGGUUUUAGCCAUCUUUGUAGCGACAAAAACAGGUGUUUUUAGCAACAUGUAGGGAAAGGUUUUAGCCAUGUUUGUAGUGACAAAAGCAGAUGUUUUUAGCAACAGGUAGGGAAAGGUUUUAGUCAUGUUUGUAGCGACAAACCAGGUGUUUUCAGCAACAUGUAGGGAAAGUCUUUAGCCAUGUUUAAAGCGACAAAAUCAGGUGUUUUCAGCAACACGUAGGGAAAGGUUUUAGCCAUCUUUGUAGCGACAAAAGCAGGUGUUUUUAGCAACAGGUAGGGAAAGGUUUUAGUCAUGUUUGUAACGACAAAAGCAGGUGUUUUUAGCAACAAGUAGGGAAAGGUUUUAGCCAUGUUUGUAACGACAAAAGCAGGUGUUUUCAGCAACAUGUAGGGAAAGGUUUUAGCCAUGUUUGAAGCGACAAACGCAGGUGUUUUUAGCAACAUGUAGGGAAAGGUUUUAGCCAUGUUUGUAGCGACAAACCAGGUGUUUUCAGCAACAUGUAGGGAAAGUCUUUAGCCAUGUUUGAAGCGACAAAAUCAGGUGUUUUCAGCAACACGUAGGAAAAGGUUUUAGUCCUGUUUGAAGCGACAGAAACAGGUUUUCUCAGCAACAUGUAGGGAAAGUCUUUAGCCAUGUUUGUAGUGACAAAAGCAGGUGUUUUCAGCAACAGGUAGGGAAAGGUUUUAGCCAUCUUUGUAGCGACAAAAACAGGUGUUUUUAGCAACAGGUAGGGAAAGGUUUUAGCCAUGUCUGUAGUGACAAAAUCAGGUGUUUUCAGCAACAUGUAGGGAAAGGUUUUAGUCAUGUUUGAAGCAGCAGAGGCAGGUUUUCUCAGCAACAUGUAGGGAAAGGUUUUAGCCAUGUUUGAAGCAGCAGAGGCAGGUUUUCUCAGCAACAUGUAGGGAAAGGUUUUAGUCAUGUUUGAAGCAACAGAGGCAGGUUUUCUCAGCAACAUGUAGGGAAAGUCUUUAGCCAUGUUUGUAGCGACAAAAGCAGGUGUUUUUCAGCAACAGGUAGGGAAAGGUUUUAGCCAUGUUUGAAGCGACAAAAGCAGGUGUUUUUAGCAACAUGUAGGGAAGGCUUUUAGCCAUGUUUGUAGCGACAAAAGCAGGUGUUUUCAGCAACAGGUAGGGAAAGGUUUUAGCCAUGUUUGAAGCAACAAAAGCUGGUGUUUUUCAGCAACAGGUAGGGAAAGGUUUUAGCCAUGUUUGAAGCGACAAAAGCUGGUGUUUUUAGCAACAGGUAGGGAAGGCUUUUAGCCAUGUUUGAAGCAACAUAAUCACGUGUUUUCAGCAACAUGUAGGGAAAGGUUUUCGUCAUGUUUGAAGCGACAAAAGCAGGUGUUUUCAGCAACAGGUAUAGAAGGUUUUUAGCCAUGCUUGUGGUGACAAAAGUGGGUAUUUUUCAGUGAGUGGUCGGGACCUUUUUAGCCUUGCUUGUAGCAAUCAAACAAGGUAUUUCAACCUUUCCUCACCUGAAUCAAGUGCUUUUUUGUGCCUAAACAUAACCACAUGUUAACCACAGUACUGUCAAAACAUAAAAUUGAAAAUUGAAACAUAAAGUUUCAACAUAUCCCUACAAAUGAAAUAAUUGCAAAAAGCUACAAUGCAAACAUUUGCUGGUGUUUGGACUGAUGUACAACACUGUUUAUUUAAAUAAACACUGCAUAUUAGUCAAGUUUGACUAGAUAACACUAGUACUGUUACCAUUCCCAAUGCCAUUAAUUUGUGUUAAUGCUCAUGAGAAGAAAGGUAUCA
Molecule: long non-coding RNA, 2631 nt
Organism: Epinephelus fuscoguttatus (brown-marbled grouper)
Lineage: Eukaryota; Metazoa; Chordata; Actinopteri; Perciformes; Serranidae
Exons: 4
Source: RefSeq, a predicted model, not a curated record